Molecule: ribosomal RNA, 462 nt
Filed under: Tetragnatha vermiformis
Lineage: Eukaryota; Metazoa; Arthropoda; Arachnida; Araneae; Tetragnathidae
Description: partial large subunit ribosomal RNA
Rfam family: Bacterial large subunit ribosomal RNA
Source: RNAcentral
AAACAUAUCUUUAGGGUCUAAUUUAAAGUAUAACCUGCCCAAUGAUUAAUUUAAUGGCCGCAGUAAUUUAACUGUGCUAAGGUAGCAUAAUCAUUAGUCUUUUAAUUUAUGACUAGAAUGAAAGGUUAAACAUUUCUCUUUCUAUUUUUGUUUUACUUUAGAAUAACUUAGGCUAAAUAUAAAAAUAUAUUUAUUCCAAAAUUAGACGACAAGACCCUUUCAAACUUUACUUAAGUUAAGCUGGGGAAGCUUAAUAAAUAAUAUCUUAUUAAAAAUUUAACAAAUUGACCCAUUUAUAAAUGAGCCUAUGAACAAGUUACUGAAGGGAUAACAGCAUAAUAAAUUCUUAUAGUUCUUAUAAAAGAAUUAGUUUAUGACCUCGAUGUUGAAUUAUUUAACUUAUAAACGCAAGAGUAUAUAAAGUAGGUCUGUUCGACCUUUAAAUUUUUACAUGAUCUGAGU